Paramuricea clavata is the source of this 229-nucleotide non-coding RNA. The record is from the annotation of a GenBank genome assembly. NCBI's taxonomy places the organism in Eukaryota, Metazoa, Cnidaria, Anthozoa, Malacalcyonacea, Plexauridae.
GUGUUACCUGAGGUAUAAACUUUUGUAGUGGAAAUAUUUAACAGAAAACUGUAUUCUUCAAUAACUGUGAUUCACCUUUCGUAAACAGAUGUUUUCAAUGAAAAGUUGUAAUUUAAUCUUGUCAUCCGAUCUGUGACAUCAUAAACAUGAUGUAAUUCAAAAAAAAUACACAGCAAGGAAAUGUACCUUUCAAUUUUCAAUUUUACGUGAUUGCAUCACUAAACGGAAA